AGGAUGAACGCUGGCGGCGUGCCUAAUACAUGCAAGUCGAGCGGUAAGGCCCCUUCGGGGGUACACGAGCGGCGGACGGCUGAGUAACACGUAGGAACGUACCCAAACUGAGGGAUAAGCACCAGAAAUGGUGUCUAAUACCGCAUGUGGUCUUCGGAUUAAAGCUUCGGCGGUUUGGGAACGGCCUGCGCAUGAUUAGCUUGUUGGUGAGGUAAAAGCUUACCAAGGCGACGAUCAUUAGCUGGUCUGAGAGGAUGAUCAGCCAGACUGGGACUGAGAACGGCCCAGACUCCUACGGGAGGCAGCAGUAGGGAAUUUUCCACAAUGGGCGAAAGCCUGAUGGAGCAACGCCGCGUGCAGGACGAAGGCCUUCGGGUUGUAAACCACUUUCAGCAGGGACGAUUGUGACGGUACCUGCAGAAGAAGCCCCGGCCAACUACGUGCCAGCAGCCGC
RNAcentral lists this ribosomal RNA (454 nucleotides) under uncultured bacterium. Its description in RNAcentral is "SSU rRNA". It matches the Rfam family "Bacterial small subunit ribosomal RNA", at positions 26 to 518 of the family's 1533-position model. The record is from RNAcentral.